GGGUUGUGAGGUUAAGCGACUAAGCGUACACGGUGGAUGCCCUGGCAGUCAGAGGCGAUGAAGGACGUGCUAAUCUGCGAAAAGCGUCGGUAAGGUGAUAUGAACCGUUAUAACCGGCGAUGUCCGAAUGGGGAAACCCAGUGCAAUUCGUUGCACUAUCGUUAACUGAAUACAUAGGUUAACGAGGCGAACCGGGGGAACUGAAACAUCUAAGUACCCCGAGGAAAAGAAAUCAACCGAGAUUCCCCCAGUAGCGGCGAGCGAACGGGGAGCAGCCCAGAGUCUGAAUCAGCUUGUGUGUUAGUGGAACGGUCUGGAAAGUCCGACGGUACAGGGUGAUAGUCCCGUACACCAAAAUGCACAGGUUGUGAACUCGAAGAGUAGGGCGGGACACGUGGUAUCCUGUCUGAAUAUGGGGGGACCAUCCUCCAAGGCUAAAUACUCCUGACUGACCGAUAGUGAACCAGUACCGUGAGGGAAAGGCGAAAAGAACCCCGGCGAGGGGAGUGAAAAAGAACCUGAAACCGUGUACGUACAAGCAGUGGGAGCACCUUCGGGUGUGACUGCGUACCUUUUGUAUAAUGGGUCAGCGACUUAUAUUCUGUAGCAAGGUUAACCGUAUAGGGGAGCCGCAGGGAAACCGAGUCUUAACUGGGCGUUAAGUUGCAGGGUAUAGACCCGAAACCCGGUGAUCUAGCCAUGGGCAGGUUGAAGGUUGGGUAACACUAACUGGAGGACCGAACCGACUAAUGUUGAAAAAUUAGCGGAUGACUUGUGGCUGGGGGUGAAAGGCCAAUCAAACCGGGAGAUAGCUGGUUCUCCCCGAAAGCUAUUUAGGUAGCGCCUCGUGAAUUCAUCUUCGGGGGUAGAGCACUGUUUCGGCUAGGGGGUCAUCCCGACUUACCAACCCGAUGCAAACUACGAAUACCGAAGAAUGUUAUCACGGGAGACACACGGCGGGUGCUAACGUCCGUCGUGAAGAGGGAAACAACCCAGACCGCCAGCUAAGGUCCCAAAGUCAUGGUUAAGUGGGAAACGAUGUGGGAAGGCACAGACAGCCAGGAUGUUGGCUUAGAAGCAGCCAUCAUUUAAAGAAAGCGUAAUAGCUCACUGGUCGAGUCGGCCUGCGCGGAAGAUGUAACGGGGCUAAACCAUGCACCGAAGCUGCGGCAGCGACACUAUGUGUUGUUGGGUAGGGGAGCGUUCUGUAAGCCUGCGAAGGUGUGCUGUGAGGCAUGCUGGAGGUAUCAGAAGUGCGAAUGCUGACAUAAGUAACGAUAAAGCGGGUGAAAAGCCCGCUCGCCGGAAGACCAAGGGUUCCUGUCCAACGUUAAUCGGGGCAGGGUGAGUCGACCCCUAAGGCGAGGCCGAAAGGCGUAGUCGAUGGGAAACAGGUUAAUAUUCCUGUACUUGGUGUUACUGCGAAGGGGGGACGGAGAAGGCUAUGUUAGCCGGGCGACGGUUGUCCCGGUUUAAGCAUGUAGGCUGAUUGUCCAGGCAAAUCCGGAUAAUCAAGGCUGAGGUGUGAUGACGAGGCACUACGGUGCUGAAGUAACAAAUGCCCUGCUUCCAGGAAAAGCCUCUAAGCAUCAGGUAACAUUAAAUCGUACCCCAAACCGACACAGGUGGUCAGGUAGAGAAUACCAAGGCGCUUGAGAGAACUCGGGUGAAGGAACUAGGCAAAAUGGUGCCGUAACUUCGGGAGAAGGCACGCUGGUGUGUAGGUGAAGUCCCUGCGGAUGGAGCUGAGACCAGUCGAAGAUACCAGCUGGCUGCAACUGUUUAUUAAAAACACAGCACUGUGCAAACACGAAAGUGGACGUAUACGGUGUGACGCCUGCCCGGUGCCGGAAGGUUAAUUGAUGGGGUUAUCCGUAAGGAGAAGCUCUUGAUCGAAGCCCCGGUAAACGGCGGCCGUAACUAUAACGGUCCUAAGGUAGCGAAAUUCCUUGUCGGGUAAGUUCCGACCUGCACGAAUGGCGUAAUGAUGGCCAGGCUGUCUCCACCCGAGACUCAGUGAAAUUGAACUCGCUGUGAAGAUGCAGUGUACCCGCGGCAAGACGGAAAGACCCCGUGAACCUUUACUAUAGCUUGACACUGAACAUUGAGCCUUGAUGUGUAGGAUAGGUGGGAGGCUUUGAAGCGUGGACGCCAGUCUGCGUGGAGCCAACCUUGAAAUACCACCCUUUAAUGUUUGAUGUUCUAACGUUGGCCCCUGACCGGGGUUGCGGACAGUGUCUGGUGGGUAGUUUGACUGGGGCGGUCUCCUCCCAAAGCGUAACGGAGGAGCACGAAGGUUAGCUAAUCCUGGUCGGACAUCAGGAGGUUAGUGCAAUGGCAUAAGCUAGCUUGACUGCGAGCGUGACGGCGCGAGCAGGUGCGAAAGCAGGUCAUAGUGAUCCGGUGGUUCUGAAUGGAAGGGCCAUCGCUCAACGGAUAAAAGGUACUCCGGGGAUAACAGGCUGAUACCGCCCAAGAGUUCAUAUCGACGGCGGUGUUUGGCACCUCGAUGUCGGCUCAUCACAUCCUGGGGCUGAAGUAGGUCCCAAGGGUAUGGCUGUUCGCCAUUUAAAGUGGUACGCGAGCUGGGUUUAGAACGUCGUGAGACAGUUCGGUCCCUAUCUGCCGUGGGCGCUGGAGAAUUGAGGGGGGCUGCUCCUAGUACGAGAGGACCGGAGUGGACGCAUCACUGGUGUUCGGGUUGUCAUGCCAAUGGCACUGCCCGGUAGCUAAAUGCGGAAGAGAUAAGUGCUGAAAGCAUCUAAGCACGAAACUUGCCCCGAGAUGAGUUCUCCCUGAGACUUUAAGUCUCCUGAAGGAACGUUAAAGACGAUGACGUUGAUAGGCCGGGUGUGUAAGCGCAGCGAUGCGUUGAGCUAACCGGUACUAAUGAACCGUGAGGCUUAACCUUACAACGCCGAAG
RNAcentral lists this ribosomal RNA (2923 nucleotides) under Klebsiella pneumoniae. RNAcentral describes it as "bacterial LSU rRNA". It matches the Rfam family "Bacterial large subunit ribosomal RNA". Lineage: Bacteria; Pseudomonadati; Pseudomonadota; Gammaproteobacteria; Enterobacterales; Enterobacteriaceae. The record is from RNAcentral.